This is a non-coding RNA of Electrophorus electricus (electric eel), 72 nucleotides long. NCBI's taxonomy places the organism in Eukaryota, Metazoa, Chordata, Actinopteri, Gymnotiformes, Gymnotidae. The record is from the annotation of a RefSeq genome assembly.
GGCAUGAUGGCCAAGUGGUAAGGUGUUGGUCUCGUAAACCGAAGAGCACGGGUUCAACCCCCGUUCGUGCCU